RNAcentral lists this unclassified non-coding RNA (217 nucleotides) under uncultured Tomentella. RNAcentral's name for it is "sequence contains ITS2". The record is from RNAcentral. Lineage: Eukaryota; Fungi; Basidiomycota; Agaricomycetes; Thelephorales; Thelephoraceae.
ACACCUCAACUCUUGUGGUUUCCCACAAUGAGCUUGGACUGUGGAGGUUUUGUUGGCCCUGUGGUCAGCUCCUCUCAAAUCAAUCAGCUUACCGGUGUUUGGUGGCGUUACGGGUGUGAUAAUUAUCUGCGCUCGUGGUCGCCUCCAAAUGACCUCCAGUGAUGGAGGUCCGCUGGAGCUUAUAAAUGUCUCUCCCCAGCGAAGACAGCCUUUGAAC